ACUGUUGGUGUUGUAGGGUAUUCGGAUUCUUAGUUUGAUUGAUUUAGAUUUUACAAUUGAUGUGUUCGUUAAAGAUACAAUUUAGAUGUUAAUAGAAAUAAUUAUAUUAUUAUUUUUAAUAAUAUAUUGUUUUACUCUUUUUUUUUUUUUUUGGUUAAAAAUGAAUAUAAACAAUUAGGUAUAAGGGUAAUUCAUCAAACAUAAUUUUAUUUUAUUUUAAAAUAUUUAAAUUCCUAAAGUAGUUUUGAUAAUAGAAUUAUUUUCUUUUUAUUUUUAUUCUAUCCAAUAUAGCAAAAUAAUAUUUUCUAAAAUUUUUCCUUCUAAUCAAAUGCAUAUUGAAAAUUUAAUUUUUUUUUUUUUUUUUUUCUUUACUUAUGCACACCCGAAACUUAUUAUAAUCCAACUUCCUCACUUUUCAAAAUAAAAAAUUUAGAUGAUUCAAAUCCACGCAUAAAUAAUAAAAAAUAAAAAUAAAAUAAAAAAGUUCUCAAGAACAAAUUAAAAAAAUGGAGGGGAAUUGGGCCCACCAAGGUCAUACCACACCGGUACGUUUUGAUUGACUGCAAUUGAAUUGAAGAUGAGAGAGAAUUGAAGUGUGAGAAAUGGAGGAACACGAAGAGCCAUCGUCUCCAGGAUUCAGUCCAGUACAACUCAAAGAAUGCUUAGAGGAGGUGCUCAACUUCACACUCGCGUCUUCAAUCGACGAAACCCUACGAUUCGAUAUAGGCCUUUCAAAGGAGUACUGUCCUAACCUCCUCAAGAACGACCCUGCAAACCCCAAUUGCAAUCACACUGAUUUUUCUGAAGGAAUUCCUCAAUAUCCUCUAUGCAAGCCUCUAGCAUCAGCUUUGUACCAGUCUAUAUCUUCUGGAUCUUUCUGCAGGACAUAUAAAGAAAUGGAAUUGAUCCAUGAAGACAGUUCCAUGAAGCAGAAAGAAGCGGAAUCAAUUGGUUCAAGCAAAGGGGUCUGAAUUAGUAAAUGUGUUGAAAGCUAUAGACUUUGAACUUCAUGUUCAGGAGCCUUUCUUUUCCCAGCUCAAAGAUGGCCUCAAAACAACUGAAGGUGGACCUGCCAACCUACCCAAGUUUGAUUAUCAAUAUUGGAUCAGGAGCACUGCUUCUCUUCAACAAGUGCUUUGUGCUUCAAGUUCAGGAUGUCAUCAGGUAUGCUUCGUUUUCUGAGAUGUUGGAAGCUGAGAGUCUAACAAAAGUCCUUCCUGGAGUAAAAACCACAGAAGAAGGUGUGCGGAUUUACCGGAAGUUUUACACAGAAGAGAAGGAAAGGUCAAAUGGAGUCCUUGCAAUUCGUGUUACGAAGGCAGCUGUUCAGCUUUACAUUUCUUUGGCUAGCAUACUUUUGGGAUUGAGUUAUGAGGGUGUUCAGAGGCUUUUGGGUCUCACUGGUACAGCAGGAACAAUUCCAGAGGCGCUUCCUCCACCAAGAUCAACUGUGCUUUUGUCAUUUUUGUUGCCGCAUAAUCCAGAGGUUAAAGGUUGCAUCUUGACUGAUGGAGCUAGGGCCUUAGCUAAGCACAUCAACAGGAGCAGUGUUGGAUACUAGGAUUCCAAUAAAAACAGGCUUGCUGUUGAUGUCAUUAGUCGCUUAAUAGAUCAUUGUUGCUGGCAAAAUAUGCAUAUUGUCCCACCACAUGGGGUGGUCUUUGAGAUAAGGAUUGCUGAUGGUUAUGGUGCUCGGUGGUCUGAAGACGGAACAAAGUUCAUUGGAUUUCUUGAACCAUACAUGAUGGAAGGCCACUCAAGAGGAUGGAUGCACUGACUUUACUCCAGGAGAAAGUUACUUUUGGCCCUCUCAACUGUAAAAGUGUGCCUUCAGUAGGAAUUGCUCUAUUCUCACAUUGUCAUAACUAGAAGACAUUAAGUAUAAGCACGAGUCUCAACUCAAUUUAUUCAGGCUGCAUGUAUGCUCCUUCCUUUUAAAACUGAAACCAAACAUUCAAUGUACUGGCAGGAUGUCAGUCCUUGACCAAUGUACACCAUCACGAUACUCAGUUCUGUAGUUGUGGUGUCAGAAUUAUGAACUAAUCUCUUGUGAUUUAUAUAUAUUAAUUUUUCUGCUUGAAUCA
Cornus florida is the source of this 2084-nucleotide RNA transcript. RefSeq lists it as uncharacterized. The record is from RefSeq and is a predicted model, not a curated record. NCBI's taxonomy places the organism in Eukaryota, Viridiplantae, Streptophyta, Magnoliopsida, Cornales, Cornaceae. The transcript has 11 exons.